This 376-nucleotide ribosomal RNA is filed under the name uncultured bacterium. Its description in RNAcentral is "bacterial SSU rRNA". It matches the Rfam family "Bacterial small subunit ribosomal RNA", at positions 521 to 895 of the family's 1533-position model. The record is from RNAcentral.
UAAUACAGAGGUCCCAAGCGUUGUUCGGAUUCACUGGGCGUAAAGGGUGCGUAGGUGGUGAGGUAAGUCUGAUGUGAAAUCUCCGAGCUCAACUCGGAAAUGGCAUUGGAAACUACUUGGCUAGAGGAGUGGAGGGGGGACUGGAAUUCUCGGUGUAGCAGUGAAAUGCGUAGAGAUCGAGAGGAACACCAGUGGCGAAGGCGAGUCCCUGGACACUUCCUGACGCUGAGGCACGAAAGCUAGGGGAGCAAACAGGAUUAGAUACCCUGGUAGUCCUAGCCGUAAACGGUGCGCAUUUGCUGUGGGCGGAAUCGACCCCGCCCGUGGCGUAGCCAACGCGUUAAAUGCGCCGCCUGGGGAGUACGGUCGCAAGAUU